AACGAACGCUGGCGGCAUGCCUAACACAUGCAAGUCGAACGAGACCUUCGAGUCUAGUGGCGCACGGGUGCGUAACGCGUGGGAAUCUGCCCUUGGGUUCGGAAUAACAGUUAGAAAUGACUGCUAAUACCGGAUAAUGUCUUCGGACCAAAGAUUUAUCGCCCAGGGAUGAGCCCGCGUAGGAUUAGCUAGUUGGUGAGGUAAAGGCUCACCAAGGCGACGAUCCUUAGCUGGUCUGAGAGGAUGAUCAGCCACACUGGGACUGAGACACGGCCCAGACUCCUACGGGAGGCAGCAGUGGGGAAUAUUGGACAAUGGGCGAAAGCCUGAUCCAGCAAUGCCGCGUGAGUGAUGAAGGCCUUAGGGUUGUAAAGCUCUUUUGCCGGGGACGAUAAUGACGGUACCCGGAGAAUAAGUCCCGGCUAACUUCGUGCCAGCAGCCGCGGUAAU
This 450-nucleotide ribosomal RNA is filed under the name uncultured bacterium. RNAcentral's name for it is "bacterial SSU rRNA". It matches the Rfam family "Bacterial small subunit ribosomal RNA", at positions 29 to 524 of the family's 1533-position model. The record is from RNAcentral.